This 253-nucleotide ribosomal RNA is filed under the name uncultured bacterium. RNAcentral's name for it is "partial 16S ribosomal RNA". It matches the Rfam family "Bacterial small subunit ribosomal RNA", at positions 524 to 776 of the family's 1533-position model. The record is from RNAcentral.
CACGUAGGGGGCAAGCGUUGUCCGGAUUUAUUGGGCGUAAAGAGCGUGUAGGCGGCCAGACAGGUCCGUUGUGAAAACUCGAGGCUCAACCUCGAGAUGUCGAUGGAAACCGUCUGGCUAGAGUCCGGAAGAGGAGUGUGGAAUUCCUGGUGUAGCGGUGAAAUGCGCAGAUAUCAGGAAGAACACCUAUGGCGAAGGCAGCACUCUGGGACGGUACUGACGCUGAGACGCGAAAGCGUGGGGAGCGAACAGG